This 23-nucleotide non-coding RNA is filed under the name Rattus norvegicus (Norway rat). The record is from RNAcentral. Lineage: Eukaryota; Metazoa; Chordata; Mammalia; Rodentia; Muridae.
CUGCUGCUGUGGAUGUAUGUUUG